AUCGUCCCAGCCAAUUGAUCUGGUCAAAGCGGUGCCCAUCUCCACUAUCCAUGGAUUCCAGAAUUUUCUUUGCCCUUCCUUAUCUCUCCGCUUCGCUGCUCUCGAUAGGGCGGCGCCCUCUUCUCUCUCCCCGGCGGCUGACGGCGUGGAAGAGGAGCUCCUCUCCUUCUCGGGGCAGCUGGUGGCGCGCUGAAAGAUGGAAUAUAAGUGGAGAAGACUUGCCCAUCGUCGCCGGCGUGGAGCACGGCCGUGUCUCUUCAAUGAGGCCGUGGUCGCCGUUGGGAGUUCUCCACGCGGUGCCGCCAGCGAGCUCCCACUCAUGGACGGAGCCGUCCCUGUCACUGUGAAGUUCUGGUCCUGUGACUGCUGCUGCGCGGGGAGGAGCGGAAUGGCACUGACUUCCCCAACCCGGACACGGCGUCGUGGCGUCGCGCGCCGAAUUGGCCACUGCGCAACAUCAGGAGGAUUUUGGGGUGGCGGCGAUGCGUCAGUAUGGAGGCGGACCGCGAGCAGGGAGAUGCGAGGGUGGAGACGCCCGUGGCUACACGCAUCAGCGCAUAUCCGCCGACUGCAACGGGGUGUACUGGCGGGGACACAAUUACAGUGGAGUCACCUAUCCUCACUGUGUCAGGCGGGGAUAUGGGGUGAGAAUCACGUCGGUGUGCCACGCCCCUGCUGGCCGACCAACAGCGGCAGCCGACCCUGCUAGCACACGGAGACCACAUGGUUGAGGGUUGCAUAACAUGAUAUGUUGGAUGCUGGCUCCUGGAUCAUUUUGUUGCAUCACCGUCGGACAAAAAAACUCCGUUCGCGACUCUGUCUCCAGCUCACUGUCUCCCACAAAGAAGUCUGCAUCGCUGCCGAUGAACUGCUAUGUUGCUUCUUCUUGCAGCAGGGAAGCGUGCGUCCUCUAAAUUCUUCUCUAUAAUAUUUGCACAGAGGAUUGUAGAUGUUGUCUAUCUUUUUAAAAAUUAAAUUGAGGUAAAUUUAUCCCCUUCCUAAGAUACUAUUAUGUACUUACUUUUCUACUCCAUACCAAUUUAUGUACAUAUAUAUUUCAAUCGUGGAGCACUAUUUUCCUAGAUAACUGAAUGCUCAGUUAUGGCCAUUGUCAAUAUGAACAAAAUUGAUAUGUACUGGCCAUUGACAAUAUGAAAAAAUUUAUAUGUAUUUUCAUGUAUUUGUUCAUGUGUGGUCUAGGAAAAGAAAUGACAUGGAGAUGCAUAUGUACACCCCUGUAUGCAAGUUAUUUAGACAGUCAGAUAUGCUAACUGAGAUUUCUUAUAUUUUAGGUAAUAUCCUAGCUUUCGAAAGUUUGGUAGUUCCACUUUCACUUGCACCACUGUCAACCAUUUUCACCUCCCGUGUUCUACCUUGGCCCUCGCCACCGAGCUUUAUUGUAUAUGCUACAUGCAUUUUAUUCUAUGGCUUGCUAGCUUAUUUUCUUUUUCUUUGUAUUCUGUCUUCUCCAGCUGCAUGUCUUUUGCAUGUGCUCAGCAUAGGAACUGAACAGUCGCAAAUAAAAGCAGUAACAUCUCAUGCUAAAUUGUGUAUAAGCUUCUAAGAUGUGUACAAAGUCUAAGUAUUUUAGUACACAGGAAAAAGAUUGACAUGAAAUCUAAACAAGUAGCAGAUAUUAAUACAAGUUCCAUAGGUAAUGUACUUUAAAGGUAAUGUACUUUAAUAAAAUCAUGCAUAUUAAGUAUCUCAAAUUGCCUGCUGAUGUAUAUCUCCAACAGUUUUUGAUAGUCAUCUCAAACUAAAGAAAGAAUUAGAAGUAGUUCAGUUUACAUUAGAAAUCGAGUCCAUCUACCUGAAGGUGUCAGCAGGCAACGAUUCCAUGCUCUGCUGCUCUGGUCGAUGGACCAGAUGAGCUUGCAACCGACCGGGGUAUCUAAUGUAGAGCCUUCUAAGGCUGUGAAGAUGGCAGUGGCCAGCUAAGUCCAAUUCCAUGUCAGCAUUUUUCCUACCAUAUUGCAGUUCACUGCGAUUUGUUCAAACUGAAGGAGAAGAGGGAAGCGGUGGAUGUGCCAACAUAUGCUUUCAGACAUUAUUCAGAUGCACCCGGGUGGUUCUUCGUUCACCUCUGAUCCUUUUGUUAAUUCCUUUGUUGGGUGGUUCCUUGAUGCUCUAUCGGCGUCAUUUUCUGGGGCGAGUUCCUCUAAUCCUGGCCUUUACAUGGACUCUUUUGAUGAUGAAUCUCCUGCUGGGUUGCUGUGUUCACCUGCUGAUUCGCUCACUGCUUCGUCGUCUUCUGCUGGUCAUCCUAUCUAUGGUUGUGAUUUUGGGGCUGGAUCAUUUCCGUCCCUGCCUACUGAUAACAUGCCUGUUGCGCCGGCAUUGUCAUCAGGUACGGGAUCUCGCACUUCACAUCCAGGAAAUUUGAAGUAGUACCAAUGCAGGCAACCUUUAUCAGAGAUAUCAAACCUCGAGGAUCUAUGAGGCGUUCUGUUGUGCAUCGCACGGAUGUGGGAGAACAGAAACAAGGAGCUGGAGCUCUAUGAGAUAUAGGCUUCAUGUUCGUUAAUCAUCUGGGCACCACAAUAGAAGGUUCUAUACUCGCAGACUGGUUUUGACCAAUUUAAAGACGAACUAAAGGAAGACAUAGUUUACAAGCUGGAGUUGUUUAUGAUCGUUGCCCCCAGGAACAACUAUAGAGCAACAGAUCACUGUUAUAGGAUUCAAAUUUGACAGAACACAAAAGUAAUGGAGAUCGUGCCUGAGACUGAGAACUCCCCCCUAGAUGCAUAUGACGCGAAGUCCUUUGAUGAUCUCCGACCAUGCAUGGAUGACACACUGCUCCUAUCAGGUUUCUACUUAGAAGCAAGGCAUACCAGUCGAUGCUGACGAAGCAGAGGACAUGGGUAAGGCAAUCAAAGACAAGAAGAGGAAGAACAAGAAUGACAAGAAAGGACCUGCCAAGGCAUUAUUCAAAGGGAAGCAAUAACAUUAGCCUUGAACCAUCCACUGAUUCUACAUCUUAUUGUGAUUACAGGCUGUCAUCGCAAGACGAGGCUAACACAAACACAGCGUCAAGGAAAUCAAGCAAGUAAACUAACCACCCAGCUGAAAAUAAAUCUUCUCAUCAACCUGCCAGCUUAUGUUAUUUUACCUAAUAGUAUCCUAGGUGAAUAUUCUUGCAGUCUCCUAAGAUUGCAUACCCGAAACUCAAUGUGAGUGUUUGCUCACCAAAUCUCCGUUUUAAUUUCUAUGUACAUUUAUCCAAUAUGCAGACCUUUAUCCACUGCUAUGUAUCUUAAGAUUUAAUGAAGCACCACCAUUCUAGCUAUGCUACCGCUUUAUCAUUUAUUAUUA
This is a non-coding RNA of Lolium perenne, 3315 nucleotides long. NCBI's taxonomy places the organism in Eukaryota, Viridiplantae, Streptophyta, Magnoliopsida, Poales, Poaceae. The record is from RefSeq and is a predicted model, not a curated record.